This 640-nucleotide ribosomal RNA is filed under the name uncultured Methylobacteriaceae bacterium. RNAcentral describes it as "bacterial SSU rRNA". It matches the Rfam family "Bacterial small subunit ribosomal RNA", at positions 897 to 1533 of the family's 1533-position model. The record is from RNAcentral. Lineage: Bacteria; Pseudomonadati; Pseudomonadota; Alphaproteobacteria; Hyphomicrobiales; Methylobacteriaceae.
AAACUUAAAUGAAUUGACGGGGGCCCGCACAAGCGGUGGAGCAUGUGGUUCAAUUCGACGCAACGCGAAGAACCUUACCAGCCCUUGACAUGUCCAGGACCGGUCGCAGAGACGCGACCUUCUCUUCGGAGCUUGGAACACAGGUGCUGCAUGGCUGUCGUCAGCUCGUGUCGUGAGAUGUUGGGUUAAGUCCCGCAACGAGCGCAACCCUCGUCCUUAGUUGCCAUCAUUAAGUUGGGCACUCUAAGGAGACUGCCGGUGAUAAGCCGCGAGGAAGGUGGGGAUGACGUCAAGUCCUCAUGGCCCUUACGGGCUGGGCUACACACGUGCUACAAUGGCGGUGACAAUGGGCAGCGAACCAGCAAUGGGGAGCUAAUCUCAAAAAGCCGUCUCAGUUCGGAUUGCACUCUGCAACUCGAGUGCAUGAAGUUGGAAUCGCUAGUAAUCGUGGAUCAGCAUGCCACGGUGAAUACGUUCCCGGGCCUUGUACACACCGCCCGUCACACCAUGGGAGUUGGUUUUACCUUAAGACGGUGCGCUAACCGCAAGGAAGCAGCCGGCCACGGUAAGGUCAGCGACUGGGGUGAAGUCGUAACAAGGUAGCCGUAGGGGAACCUGCGGCUGGAUCACCUCCUUUAUG